GAUGAACGCUGGCGGCGUGCUUAACACAUGCAAGUCGAACGGAAAGGCCCAAGCUUGCUUGGGUACUCGAGUGGCGAACGGGUGAGUAACACGUGGGUGAUCUGCCCUGCACUUCGGGAUAAGCCUGGGAAACUGGGUCUAAUACCGGAUAGGACCACUUCUUGGAUGUUGUGGUGGAAAGUUUUUUCGGUGUGGGAUGAGCUCGCGGCCUAUCAGCUUGUUGGUGGGGUAAUGGCCUACCAAGGCGUCGACGGGUAGCCGGCCUGAGAGGGUGUACGGCCACAUUGGGACUGAGAUACGGCCCAGACUCCUACGGGAGGCAGCGGUGGGGAAUAUUGCACAAUGGGCGCAAGCCUGAUGCAGCGACGCCGCGUGGGGGAUGACGGCCUUCGGGUUGUAAACUCCUUUCGCUAGGGACGAAGCGUUUUGUGACGGUACCAGGAGAAGAAGCACCGGCUAACUACGUG
RNAcentral lists this ribosomal RNA (467 nucleotides) under uncultured bacterium. RNAcentral's name for it is "partial 16S ribosomal RNA". It matches the Rfam family "Bacterial small subunit ribosomal RNA", at positions 28 to 507 of the family's 1533-position model. The record is from RNAcentral.